UAGGGAAUCUUCGGCAAUGGGGGGAACCCUGACCGAGCAACGCCGCGUGAGUGAAGAAGGUUUUCGGAUCGUAAAGCUCUGUUGUUAAGGAAGAACGAGUGUGAGAAUGGAAAGUUCAUACUGUGACGGUACUUAACCAGAAAGGGACGGCUAACUACGUGCCAGCAGCCGCGGUAAUACGUAGGUCCCGAGCGUUGUCCGGAUUUAUUGGGCGUAAAGCGAGCGCAGGCGGUUAGAUAAGUCUGAAGUUAAAGGCAGUGGCUCAACCAUUGUAGGCUUUGGAAACUGUUUAACUUGAGUGCAGAAGGGGAGAGUGGAAUUCCAUGUGUAACGGUGAAAUGCGUAGAUAUAUGGAGGAACACCGGUGGCGAAAGCGGCUCUCCGGUCUGUAACUGACGCUGAGGCUCGAAAGCGUGGGGAGCGAACAGG
RNAcentral lists this ribosomal RNA (429 nucleotides) under Bacteroidota bacterium. RNAcentral describes it as "Bacteroidetes bacterium partial 16S ribosomal RNA". It matches the Rfam family "Bacterial small subunit ribosomal RNA", at positions 355 to 776 of the family's 1533-position model. The record is from RNAcentral. Lineage: Bacteria; Pseudomonadati; Bacteroidota.